This 74-nucleotide transfer RNA is filed under the name bacterium. RNAcentral describes it as "tRNA-Gln". It matches the Rfam family "tRNA". Rfam says of the family: Transfer RNA (tRNA) molecules are approximately 80 nucleotides in length. Their secondary structure includes four short double-helical elements and three loops (D, anti-codon, and T loops). RNAcentral also lists the same sequence under 2 other names. The record is from RNAcentral.
UGGGAGAUCGUCUAACGGCAGGACAGCGGACUCUGACUCCGUUAAUCUAGGUUCGAAUCCUAGUCUCCCAGCCA